GACGAACGCUGGCGGCGUGCUUAACACAUGCAAGUCGAACGGAAAGGCCCUGCUUUUGUGGGGUGCUCGAGUGGCGAACGGGUGAGUAACACGUGAGUAACCUGCCCUUGACUUUGGGAUAACUUCAGGAAACUGGGGCUAAUACCGGAUAGGAGCUCCUGCUGCAUGGUGGGGGUUGGAAAGUUUCGGCGGUUGGGGAUGGACUCGCGGCUUAUCAGCUUGUUGGUGGGGUAGUGGCUUACCAAGGCUUUGACGGGUAGCCGGCCUGGGAGGGUGACCGGCCACAUGGGGACUGCGAUACGGCCCAGACUCCUACGGGAGGCAGCAGUGGGGAAUAUUGCACAAUGGGCGGAAGCCUGAUGCAGCAACGCCGCGUGCGGGAUGACGGCCUUCGGGUUGUAAACCGCUUUCGCCUGUGACGAAGCGUGAGUGACGGUAAUGGGUAAAGAAGCACCGGCUAACUACGUG
Molecule: ribosomal RNA, 468 nt
Filed under: uncultured bacterium
Lineage: Bacteria
Description: partial 16S ribosomal RNA
Rfam family: Bacterial small subunit ribosomal RNA
Source: RNAcentral